Molecule: ribosomal RNA, 253 nt
Filed under: uncultured bacterium
Lineage: Bacteria
Description: partial 16S ribosomal RNA
Rfam family: Bacterial small subunit ribosomal RNA
Source: RNAcentral
UACAGAGGUGGCAAGCGUUGUUCGGAAUUACUGGGCGUAAAGGGCACGUAGGCGGCCAUCUAAGUCAGACGUGAAAUCCCCCGGCUUAACCUGGGAACUGCGUCUGAUACUGGACGGCUAGAGUUUGGGAGAGGGAUGUGGAAUUCCAGGUGUAGCGGUGAAAUGCGUAGAUAUCUGGAGGAACACCGGUGGCGAAGGCGGCAUCCUGGACCAACACUGACGCUGAGGCGCGAAAGCUAGGGGAGCAAACGGG